AAGUCAUAACAAGGUUUCUGUAGGUGAACCUGCAGAAGGAUCAUUAUUGAAUUGUAAAAAUGGGGAGUUGCUUUCGAGCACUCCUCUACAUUCUUUAUUCCUAACACCUGUGAAUCGUUGCUGAGCUCGCUCAGUGGCACCUUUUUUAUACACACACAUAAAAGUUUAGAACGUAAAAAUUAUAUAACAAAUACAACUUUUGACAACGGAUCUCUUGGUUCUCCCAUCGAUGAAGAACGCAGCGAAAUGCGAUAAGUAAUGUGAAUUGCAGAAUUCAGUGAAUCAUCGAAUCUUUGAACGCACCUUGCGCUCCUUGGUAUUCCUUGGAGCAUGCCUGUUUGAGAGUCUUGAAUAUCUCCGCUUUUAUGUUUUUUAAAAUAUAACAAGUCGGGUCCUUGGGUCUGCUUGCGGUUUGUUACAAACACAAGCUUACCUUAAAUGAAUUAGCUGGACUUCAGCAGAGUUGUUAAGUAACAUUUUGAACUCUCGUAAUAUGAAGUCUGCUUUCUAACCUAUCUCUUUCGAGAUAAUUUUUCUAUUUUGGCCUCAAAUCAGGUAGGACUACCCGCUGAACUUAAGCAUAUCAAUAAGCGGAGGAAAAGAAACUAACAAGGAUUCCCCUAGUAACGGCGAGUGAAGCGGGAUGAGCUCAAAUUUGAAAGCUGGCAGUAAUGUCCGCGUUGUAAUCUCGAGAGUUGUUUUCCGCGCUGGACCACGUACAAGUUCCUUGGAAUAGGAUGUCAUAGAGGGUGAAAAUCCCGUACUUGAUGUGGACGCCCAGUGCUUUGUGAUACAUCUUCGAAGAGUCGAGUUGUUUGGGAAUGCAGCUCAAAAUGGGUGGUAAAUUCCAUCUAAAGCUAAAUAUUGGGGAGAGACCGAUAGCGAACAAGUACCGUGAGGGAAAGAUGAAAAGCACUUUGGAAAGAGAGUUAAACAGUACGUGAAAUUGUCAAAAGGGAAGCAUUUGAAGUCAGACGUGUAUUGUAGUAUUCAGCCUUGCUUUUGCUUGGUGUAUUUGCUAUUUUACAGGCCAACAUCAGUUUUGAAUGACGGAUAAGGGUAUUAAGAAUGUGGCAUCCUCGGAUGUGUUAUAGCUUUUUACUGGAUACGUCGUUUGGGACUGAGGAACGCAGCUCGCCGUAAGGCAGACCUUCGGGUACUUUCGAGCUUAGGAUGUUGGCGUAAUGGCUUUAAGUGACC
RNAcentral lists this ribosomal RNA (1200 nucleotides) under uncultured fungus. Its description in RNAcentral is "eukaryotic LSU rRNA". The stretch from base 542 to 1200 matches the Rfam family "Eukaryotic large subunit ribosomal RNA", at positions 1 to 649 of the family's 3401-position model. The record is from RNAcentral. Lineage: Eukaryota; Fungi.